AACGAACGCUGGCGGCAUGCUUAACACAUGCAAGUCGAACGCCCCGCAAGGGGAGUGGCAGACGGGUGAGUAACGCGUGGGAAUCUACCCAUCCCUACGGAAUAACGCAUGGAAACGUGUGCUAAUACCGUAUACGCCCUACGGGGGAAAGAUUUAUCGGGGAUGAAUGUGCCCGCGUUGGAUUAGCUAGUUGGUGGGGUAAAGGCCUACCAAGGCGACGAUCCAUAGCUGGUCUGAGAGGAUGAUCAGCCACAUUGGGACUGAGACACGGCCCAAACUCCUACGGGAGGCAGCAGUGGGGAAUAUUGGACAAUGGGCGCAAGCCUGAUCCAGCCAUGCCGCGUGAGUGAUGAAGGCCUUAGGGUUGUAAAGCUCUUUCACCGGAGAAGAUAAUGACGGUAUCCGGAGAAGAAGCCCCGGCUAACUUCGUG
This 431-nucleotide ribosomal RNA is filed under the name uncultured bacterium. RNAcentral describes it as "partial 16S ribosomal RNA". It matches the Rfam family "Bacterial small subunit ribosomal RNA", at positions 29 to 507 of the family's 1533-position model. The record is from RNAcentral.